AGCUAAUUCAUUUCCUGGUAAGGGCUCUCUACCUGUCUUGUAGGUGGUCACGUUCUUGCUGUGUCCUCACAUGGCAGAGAAAGAGAAUGCUGUUAUGGUGUCUCUUAUAAGGGCACUUAUUCCAUUAUGGAGACUCUCUCCUCAUGAUGUCAUCUGAUACCUCCAAAAAGCCAAAUACUAUCACACUGAUUUGGUGGUUAUGGAUUCUCAUAUGAAUUUUGGGGACACAAGUCUAUUCCUAACUACUAUCUUCUAUCACUAUCAUUUAAUAGUAUUUUCAGUACCAAAAAAGUAGGAAGAUAUAAACAACUUAUUUAGCAUCAUGAAUUAGUAAUUAUUACACUUAAGUUUCUCUUUACCACUGACAGAUAAAAUCUUCGUUUGAAACACUGCUAAACAGCAGGGCUACUCAAAGUAUGGUUCACUGGUCUCAUAAAUUUGCAGUAGGUGCUAAAUCAAUACAUCACUAAACACAGUUUAUUUCAGCUGACUUUUUUUUGGCAAUAAGGCUGUCAAUGAGGAGGGUGUAUAUUGAUUGCAUUUUAAAAAAAUUAUCAGUUAUUGAUGGACCUUUAUUCAUUUAUUUGUUUAUAUGUGGUGUUAGUAUAAUGUCAUCUGGCAAUUUUGAGUAGCACUAAAUAAGAUAUUACAGUUAACUAAGUAAAUAAGAUAAAGGAAUAAUAAAAGUCCUAUUUUUCAUACCCCUACUUUUCAACAAGUUCAGUCAUUCUAAAGACUACCCAGAAAGGCUGUUUUCUCUCUGAGAGGCAGACCACUCCACACAUCUUGGAGCAUUACUUUCAUUUCACUAAACAAACUCUUUAUGCUUUUCUAAAAAUGAACAAUACAAAAAAUACCAAAAACUAAAAAUUACUCAGGAAUGAUUUCCACUGCCUGAAUUAUAUGCUUUGCCUCUUUAGUAUUAUUUCUAUCAUUUUUAAAACUUCCAGACAGUGAAAUAAAAGAGAUAAUUUGCAUGUUUAUAUAUAUUUUUUUCAGAUGGUAGGCCAGGAUUGACAACAAGGGAACUGAUCUUACACAAAACAUUUCUGAAUAAAUAAAAUCACAAGUGAAGAUACUUGAAAGAUUCAGAGGUGCUUGCUUCCUGAUGGUAGAGAAGCCAACAAACACAAGGGCAGCUCUGAAAACUCAAGGAAACUAUUCACAUAACUCUACUGUAUUAGCCAUCAGCAGAUUGACACUGAAGAGAAGACAUAUGUGUGUAGCAAGUGUGGAAAAAGCCUUUUAUGUGAACUUCAACCUAAAAGUACACCAGAGAAUCCACUGUGGAGACAAACCUUAAAUUACAAUGACUGUGGAAAAACCUUUUGUCAAAGUUUUCACCUUAUUCUACAUCGAAGAAUCCACACUGAAGAAAGACUACAAAUAUGAUGCAGCCUUUUUUUUUUUUUUUUUUUUUGGUCAGUCCAACUCAAUUUACCAUCAUGGAAUCCACUCAGGAGAUAUCCUUUUAUAAAUGUGGGAAAGCUUUCAGAAGCAAGUCAUAUGUUGUUCAACAACAGAUGACACACAUGGGGAGAAACCAUAUAAAUAUAAUGUCUGUGGGAAAUGUGUCCGUCUUUUAUGUAUUUAUUUUGUAUUUUUAUUUAUUUGUUUAUUUAUUUUAUAAUGGCUUGAACUCAGAGUCACUGGACCACUGGGCCACAUCCCCGGCCCUCUUUGUAUUUUAUUAGAGACAGGGUCUCACUGAGUUGUUUAGUGCCUUGCUAAAUUGCUGAGGCUGGCUUUGAACUCGUGAUCCUCUGCCUCCGCCUCCCUAGUUGCUGGGAUUACAGUGGUGAGCCACCUGCUAGCUCAGUUUUGUCUGUCAAUCUAUCCAACAUUUGCUAAUUCAUUCUAACCAGAACGCUUUUAAAUGUGACAUGUAUGGAAAAGCAUUUAAUUAAAGUUCAAGUUGUUACUUACAUCAGAAAGUUCGUUUCAAAGAGGAAUUCUGAAAUGUGGUUGAUAAGGUAACUAAUCUAGUUGACACUCAUUUAGCACUGACCAGGACUGAGUCGACACUGGGAACAAUUUAGAAGUUUGCAAAUAGUCUAAUCCGAGUUUUUAGUAGUUCUGUCGUUCUUACUCAGUAGCAGGAAAGCCAUUUUGCCAAAGACAGUCACCAGCAUAUCCAUCAAUAAGCUUCACUGCCCUCCAUUAAAAAAAAAAAAAAAAAAUGAAGUCUAAUAUACAAAAAGUUAAAUGUUUCUGUUCGUUCUGUUCCUUUCUAGCCAAUUUUCCCCAAGAUUUCUGUGAUAACAGCCAAUUUGGUUCCAUAUUGGGCUUUGUCUUCAAUCUUUCAGAUUUUGUGCAUUUUCAAGAAUGAAUAUAAUUUAAAUGCAUUCAUUUGGCAAACAUUGUAGUGUCCACUGUGUGCUAGUAAUGAAUAAAACAGGCAAAAAUCUGUGCCUUCAUGGAGAUUACAUUCUGAUAGGAAUAGAGAAGACAAUAAAGGUGGUGGAAAGCGGAUUGUAGCUAGAGGGGAGGAAGAGAUCGCUGUUCUGGAGCAAGCAAAAAUACCAACUACAGAGAUUCCCUCCGGAUUAUUGGAGAGUGGGGUAAUCCCCUUUCCACCUGCCUCUUGGCUUCGAACUCAGUUUAGGUCCCUUGCUGCUUGUCCUGGCGGGGCAAACAGUCACAGCAGCCUCUGGGAAUGAAGGUACACUGUUUCUUUACGUUUACUUCUGAUGUAAUCUUUUACCUCUUCUAGCAAUUCUUUUCUCUAACCAACAGUUCUGAAACGGUAGAGUGCAUUAUAAUCCCCUGCAGUGGCAACCAAAAUUCAGAUUACCUGGCCCACCCUGAAUUUCAGAUUCAGAAGGUCUGGAAUGGGGCCAAUAAUUGGGAUUUCUAACAAAUUUUCUGCCAGUGCGACUGGUGGGGGUCGUACUUUGAGAAACAUGCUGUAAUUCUGAUGUGUUUCGUGGUUUAAUUGAUCGUCCCCUUCACCCCCACUCCCACUACGUGUUGUACACCGGAUUUGGUUGAUGAGGUUAAGAUGGAUGAAAGCAAACUCCUCAGCCAUCUAAACCGAGAGGAUUUUGCCAGUCUUAGUCACAGAUUGUUCCCACUUCCAUCCAACCCAAAUUUCAUGUUCUUUUCUUCCAUCUUGGUUUCUGUCACCAGUCUAGCAACCCCUUUUUUGUGGAGGAAUCCCAAGCUUUCAGCUACUUGGUUCAGUGUUUUUGCAAACUGAAACAUAAAUUUGAUCUUUAGGCAACAAUCAGAAUAACUCAUUCUUUUUUAGUGCUUCUAGAACUCUACCUCUAGAGGCUCAUCUACAAAAUGGGAAUAAAAUAGUACAUACUUCAUGAAGUUUUGUUAGGAUUAAAUGAUAACAAUAAUGUACCAUAUAUUUCAAAAAGCUAGAGGAAGGAAAUUUUUUUUUAAAAUCAUAAAAAGAUAAGUAUUUGAGGAGAUAGGCAAGUUUAAAAUGAUAUUAAAGGGCAGAGGUGCAGCUCCCUGGUACAGUGCUUGGCUAGCAUGCAUAGGCCCUAGGCUUCACCCUGACCUUACAUACAUACAUACAUGUUUUUUAAAAUGAUAGUACAUAGUGCAUAUAUGUAUCAAAAUAUCACACAAUUCUCCAAUAAAUAAAUGCAAUUUUUAUGUUUUAUGUAUCUGUUAAAUUUAAAAUAAAAAACUUAUGUCUAAGCAUUCCAUUUUCUUGGUGAUAAUUAAAUGGUAUUCUGCUUUUAAUUUCUACUGAGUGAGCAAUAUCCCUAGCCCUUUUAACUUAUUGAAAAGAGAUUUAGGGCUCAGUGGUAGAGCGCUUGCCUAGCACAUGUGAGGCCCUGGGUUCGCUCCUCAGCACCACAUAAAAAUAAAACAAAAUAAAGGUAUUGUGUACAACUAAAAAAUAAAUAUUAAAAAAGAGCUUUACCCAUUUCACCCAUUUCAAGUAUAUUGUUCAAAAGUUUAUAGUAUAUUCAGAGUUAUGUAAUUAUCAGCACAAUAAUUUUGCAAUAUUUUCAUCACUUCAAGAAGAAACCCUGCAUCUUCUAGUCCUCUAGUCUUCACUUUAACUCAUUUGCAUUCUCCAGCCCAGACAACUACCAGAUAACUAAUUUACUUUCUGUCCCUGCACAUUUGCCUGUUCUGGACAUUUCAUAUAAAGACCGUCAUAGAAUAUGUGAUCUUUCAUGUCUGGUUUCUUUAAUAUUAAAAUAACAUUUUCAAAGUUCAUAUUGUAGCAUGUAUUAAUACUUUGUUUCUUUUAUGGGUGAAUAACAUUCUGUUGUGUGCAUAAACCACAUUUUAUUUUUCCAUUCAUCACAUUUGUUGGGUUUCUACUUUUUGGCUAAAAUGAAUAAUGCCGAUAUGAACACUCUUGACAGAGUUUUCAUGUGGAUAUGUGUUUUCUUUUCUCUUGGACCUAUAUCUAAAAGGAAAUUAUAAUUACACUUGGUAACUCUAUGACAAACUGUUUUGCAAAGUAGUUACAACAUUUUAUAUUCUCAGGAAAAUGUAUUUCACUUCCUUUUCCUUCCAGGGUGGUAGUGGUGGUGCUGGGGAUUGAACUUAGGGUUUUUGUGCAUGUGAGGCAAGCACUCUACCAACCGAGCUAUAUCCCCAGCCCUCCUGUGCUCAGUUUUUAAUUGGGUUAUUUUUUCACCAUUGGUUUAUAAGGAUCUUUUAUAUAUUCUGCAUUCAGUUCUCUUAUCAAAUAUAUGGUUUGCAAAUAUUUUCUCCUAUCCUGUGGAUUUUAUUUUACUUUUUUGAUGGCAUUUUUAAAAACACAAAAUUUUUUAAUUUGUGAAGUCGAAUUUAUUUUUUUUCUUUUACACUUGUGCUUUGGUAUCAUAUCUAAGAAAUCUUUGCCUAGCUGAAUGUCAUAAAAAUAUACUCCUAUGUCUUCUUUAAGAGUUUUAUACUUUUAGCUUUUACAUUUAAGUUUAUGACACAUUUAGAGUUAACUUUUUCUUUUCUUUCUUUCUUUUUUUUUUUUUUCUUUUUUUUUUUAGUUCUGGGGACUGCAGCCAGGGCCUUGUGCAUGUGAGGCACCCACUCUACCAACUAGAGGCAACUUUUUAAAAGGUGUAAAGAAAGGUUUCAAAAACUGAAAAGAGCUAGUGUAAUCCCAGUGGCUCAGAAGGCUGAGGCAAAGAGGAUUGUAAGUUUAAAGCCAGCCUCAGCAAUUUAGCCAGGCCCUAAACAAUUUAUUGUUGUGUCAAACAACAAUAACAACAAAAGAAAACAAACAAACAAAACUGAAAGAUGAAGUUUGUUCACAGAUAUUUUUUGUUGUGUUAACCUUCUUCUUCUCUUCCUCCUCUUGGCGGAUAUUUUUUUUCCCCCAGCUAGUGUUUUUCUCCAUUUCUUCCUGUGGAUUUGAGUUACCAUCUGCUGUUACUUUUUUACUCAAUUACAGUUUGUUUCAUCCUGCCUUCUUUAUACUGUUACUGUCAAAUAUAUUACAUUUUUAUGUUAUAGAUCCCCUAAUACAUAUGUAUUAUUCUAUCAGUUUGUUAUUUAAAUCAGUUAAAAAUGAGUUAAGAAAAUAAUUAUACAAUUUAUUAUUAUCUUUUGUAAUUACCUAAUUACCUUUUUAAAAAAAAAUGUGGAUUCUGAAUUACUGUCUAGUGUCACUUGUUUUCAGCCUGAAGAACUUCCUUUACUGUUUCUUGUAAAGCAGGCCUUCUAGCAAUGAAUUCUCUGGGUUUUUGCUUAUCUGGGAGUGUCUUUCUUACUUCUUCAUUUUAAAAAUAUGAAGAAAUAUGAAGUGCCAUCUUCCUGGCACUACAAGGUGCUCUAGGUCCAUCUUGGAUGAUUCCUGCUCCAUUCCUCAUUUAAAAAAAAAAAAAAUUUUUUUUUUUUGGAGGGAAUUUCUACAUAGACAAUUAUGUCUUCUGUGAGCAAGUGUUUUCUUUCCUCCCAAUCUAUGUAUCUUUUCUUUCUUUUUCAUGACUUAGUGCAUUAACUAGGGCUUUCAGUACAAUGUUGAUUAGGAGUGAUGAGAAGAGAUACCCUUGCCUCACUGUUAGAGUCUGUAAACAAGUCAGGAUGGCGCCUGGCAAAUGUUAGAGUCUGUAAACAAAAUGUAAACAUUUUGCCAGAGGGAGUGGUUUGUGAAGUAACGCCACUGAGCCGUUAAGUGUGGAGAUUCCUUAUUGGCUGACUGCUGUAUGGAGUUUAUGCUAAUUAAGAUAAGCUGUGUGGAAUGUAUAAAUACCUCUGUGGUCCUACAAUAAACGGCAAAAUAACACCUGGCAUUUCGUUUGUGGUGUGUUAGAGUUCGUAAACAAGUCUGGAUGGUGCCUGGCAAAAUGCCAGAGGGAGUGGUUUGAGAAGUAACAAAAGCGAGCCAUUAAGUGUGGAGAUUCCUUAUUGGUUGACUGAUGUAUCUAGUUUAUGCUAAUUAGAUAAGCUGUGUGGAAUGUAUAAAUACUGCUCCUGUCCUGCAAUAAAGGGCUCCCACUCCUGCUGUAUCAAUCUACACAAGUUGUUCGUCACCCCCCGGUUAUUUUGCUGCAGCCGGACUGCGCCAGAUGGUGGCCCAUAGGGGAGCCCCGGGACACUCGGGGGUAAGUUGACGAGAAAAAGCUGCCCAUCCGUAGAUAGGACGGGAGCAAAUCUGCUCGUCCCUAGGCAGAUAGGGCGAGAGGAAAAAUGGCGAUAUUGAGAAAAUGGAAAAGAUUGAUACAGUAUGUUUGUGUCUUGUUUUGUCUUGAAAUGUUGUAUUGUCUUUGUGAUGAAAAUAUGGAAGGGGUGAGAAGUAAAUUACUAAGGGAAGGAGGCACCCCAGUGGAACCAAGAAUAGUUAGGGCAUGUGUUGAUAGAAGCCCAGGAACUCUAGUCAGAAAGAAAAAGAAGGUUCAGAAGAAGAAGGAUUAUCAGAAAAAAAGUUGCAACAAAAGGCUAUUACUGAAUACUUUUCGUUACCAGAGGGUGCAUAAAACGGCACAGCCGCUGCCACGUGCCCUCGAGCCGGUCAUGGCGCAGCAAGGGCUUUCCAAGCGGUGGCAACCGGCUCUUCCCCGCCCCCCGCCCGGGGAGCCGGACGCCACUGCGAGAGCCCAAAUCCAAACCUGUGCCUAGUAGCAGUUUGAGUCCGGGACUCUCCCCAGGGCUAUCUGGGGCUGCCCAGGACACUACAGGCGGAAGACUACUGCGUCCCUGAAGUUUGAUCAUUUCCAAGGCCAGUAACUACAAUGGUUCUCCCACACCUGGAAGCUAAUGAGUAAUGAGCACCAUUAAGGCUUAUUUCAAAUGUAAAAAACCUUGAGGUAAUGUACUAAAUUGUUCAGAAGGUUGUUUUCUUAGUGGAAUACUACAGGAUUUUCUUUAGCCAUCCGGAGUUCCUGCCUUCAUCCCAGUGCCGGUGAAGAUGAAGGUGGAAGAAUUUCCAGUGUUGCCGAGAACCUGACGAGACUUCUGAUCAAGCUAGCUGCCUGCAGAACUUACCUGGACUGUGAUUUAAGCUAGCUGCCUAUGGACUGGACUGUGAACUUACCUGGACUGUGAUUUACCUGGACUGUGAGUUAAUCUAUUGAGACACUGCUUUACCUGGACUGAGACAACAAACUGUAAUCUACAACAAAUUGUAACUUGGUAUCUUUGCAAAUGGUGUCAUUGCUGGUAUAAUUUUUCCAAAGGCUUCUUGCAUGGAGCCAUCAGUUGGCUUAGUAUUGUGCAUUUUGUAUCCUCCCCUUCUGCUUGUAGCAGAUUAUUUAUGGUGUUUGUGUAAAAACCACUAUGGUCCUUGUUUAAAUUAAACAAAAGGGUGAAAUGUUAGAGUCUGUAAACAAAAUGUAAACAUUUUGCCAGAGGGAGUGGUUUGUGAAGUAACGCCAGCGAGCGGUUAAGUGUGGAGAGUCCUUAUUGGUUGACUGCUGUAUGGAGUUUAUGCUAAUUAAGAUAAGCUGUGUAAAAUGUAUAAAUACCUCUGUUGUCCUAUAAUAAACGGCUCCCACUCGUGCUGUAUCAAUGUACACAAGUUGUUCGUCACCCCCCCCCCCCGCCGUUAUUUUGCUGCAGCCGGACUGCGGCACCUCACAACACAGUUUAAUGGUGUGGUGUGUAUACUAAAAAAUCCCUAGUGUGUCUAGGAACAAGUAACUCUCUUAUCUAAAAACAAUAAAAAUUUAAAACAUUGCAUU
This 8102-nucleotide long non-coding RNA is filed under the name Marmota monax (woodchuck). The record is from RNAcentral. Lineage: Eukaryota; Metazoa; Chordata; Mammalia; Rodentia; Sciuridae.